Molecule: non-coding RNA, 97 nt
Organism: Caenorhabditis elegans
Lineage: Eukaryota; Metazoa; Nematoda; Chromadorea; Rhabditida; Rhabditidae
Source: Ensembl
GCACAUCAUUUACAAUUCUAAAAAGGGAAACGACACUUCCGUCUCUUUUCUCUCUCAUCCUACUCCAAAUGUUAAUUUCCUUUCUGAAUACCUUUAA